This is a long non-coding RNA of Thalassophryne amazonica, 124 nucleotides long. RefSeq lists it as uncharacterized. Lineage: Eukaryota; Metazoa; Chordata; Actinopteri; Batrachoidiformes; Batrachoididae. The transcript has 3 exons. The record is from RefSeq and is a predicted model, not a curated record.
UUACAAAACAGCAUUUUAGAUUUACAAGUGUACAUAUUUCUCACUAACCUUCACAAACUACAAGAGGAAAAAAUGCCAAACAUAAUAGAUCCAUACAGAAACACAGUUCUGAAAGAGCAUGUUC